This is a non-coding RNA of Malus domestica (apple), 1126 nucleotides long. Lineage: Eukaryota; Viridiplantae; Streptophyta; Magnoliopsida; Rosales; Rosaceae. The record is from RefSeq and is a predicted model, not a curated record.
UAAUCUGGAUGUUCACAUCCAACCCAAUAGUCGACACAAUUUAUAGUUGAUAGAAUGUUUUCCAAGAGUUCUUUACAUGUCCCAAUGUUCAUUCCGAAAAAGUAGUGCUGGCAAGCACAAUGUGAACAUAAGACGAGCUGUAAACUUAAGUAUACUAAAUUCCGACCACCGUCACAUAUGUGAAACAUAUGUAGUUUGUUGUGAUUGGACGUAUUUGAAAUCCAUUGUCUAAAAUGUGGAAAAGAAAAUGGCACAAGCACAGAACAUAGUUGAUUCUAAUAUAGUAUUAGUGUUGUGUCACUAGAGUGUUGUGUCACUAGAUUGCACAACACAGAGCUGCUCAUGGCGCCUCAUCCGGAAUUUGAGCAACAUCCAUUUAAGCGCCACUUGUAUGUCUGCGAGGCGCAUGUACAAAUUUGGUUGCUAAAAAAACUUAAUUAGCUAGGUUAAUAGCGUCCUUAAGAUAAUAUAGCCUAGACUUCUGAAUAAACAACAAUUUAAAUAUUAAUUAAACAUUUGGCACAACAUAAUCGUAGUGGCAGGUCAAGAAAAACUAGUGAAGUAGUAGUAGUAUAUUUUAGCAAGUGCUAAACCCUGGAAGGGCAACUUAAGAGAAUGAAAUUACGUUCUUCUCAAAUGUUUAUAGCAGUAUGCAAGUGAAUACAUCAUUCCAUAUGGUAUUAGAAAUUAGACUCAGAUUUUCAAUUGAAUUCCUCUCUAUCCGACAAUAGUCGAGAGGAUUCGUAAUGUUUUCAUUGCUUGUACUGCAGGAUUUGGAUUAGUUGAUCAUGGGAAAUGAGAUGGGUAACAACAACACAUCAGGUUUGAGAGAUGAAGAGAACACAACAGUUGGUGAAGUUGCCGAUAAACCUUUGGCAAAAACUACUCUUGCAAAUGACACGAAAGAAGAAAACGUAGUACCGGAAGAUGAAGGAAAAGAUUUUCAUGAAAACAUUACCAACUUGGCUUCCGAUGAUCCAAAGAGAAUACAAGAUACUUGUGUUGAUGAUCAGACAUAACAGGUGAAGAAGACGGUAAAAUGCAACUAGAUCCAUCAAUUAACAAUUCGGGAUAUGAAAAGCCGGUAGAGCGAGAUAUAGAGGAGAAUGAUCUGCAAGGAACAAUC